UGGUGCUUUGAGCUGAGGUCAGUAAUUGCCUACUGGGAACUAUAAAUUAUAGUUCUCACGCCCUCUGUUUUAUGUUUUCAUUCAGAACCUUCCACGCCGGGAGAGGCUAGGGACCGAGGGAAGGGCAUGGCUUCGAGCUAGCUCUUCAGCGAGUGACGAGUCGCUAGGUGGUCUACCUCUCGAUGUUUUAUUUUGGAGAGGUUGAGAGCUGUACCAGUGUACUAGAGACCACCCCUUUUGUGUACUUUUUGGACAGAUAUUGUAUUACCUUAUGUUUUACUUCUAUGGUUUAGUCGUGAUCUUUGUACUCUCUCUUUAUAGAUGAUAGAAUCAUACUUGCUCUGAUAUCCCUAGUUGUAGAUUAUUUCUUGCUUUUACUUCCGCUUUUAUUGUAGACGCCUUAUAUGUGUAGACAUAUGGCGGGUCUGGGCGCGCUACCGGGGGGGCCCUCCGCCGGUCCCGGGGCGUGACAGUUUUUCCAGUUGACAACCCUCACACACAAUAUUCUCUUUGAAGUUUAUCUUAGGUACACCUCUAACUACCUCCUUCUUUGUUAUUCUAGAUAGUUUCUUAA
This 574-nucleotide long non-coding RNA is filed under the name Ananas comosus (pineapple). RNAcentral describes it as "long non-coding RNA (ACOM_LNC034462)". The record is from RNAcentral. Lineage: Eukaryota; Viridiplantae; Streptophyta; Magnoliopsida; Poales; Bromeliaceae.